This is a long non-coding RNA of Drosophila pseudoobscura, 457 nucleotides long. RefSeq lists it as uncharacterized. NCBI's taxonomy places the organism in Eukaryota, Metazoa, Arthropoda, Insecta, Diptera, Drosophilidae. The transcript is spliced from 3 exons. The record is from RefSeq and is a predicted model, not a curated record.
ACGGCCGUGCGCCAGCUGGCAAGCGUUGCCGAACACUAUCAAACACUCGACGACAUCAGCAUUACCUUCUGCAAUUGUAAAUUGGGGAAAUAAUUCAAAAAAACCUGGACAAUUUUUGUGCUGAAUUGUCUGUACAAAAAAGCAGCAAGCGAAAUCAACAAGCCAGAAGAGCGGCAGAGUUUUUUGGAAUUUAAAAGAUUUGAAUACAUUUCCAUCAUGAGCGACGGUAAGUCCACCGAAAAAGAGGUGAAGCCUGACAUCCAAAAAGAAGAGCCAGAGCACAACCACAAUGCAGAGCAGACUUCAAGGGAGGUGGACGUCGCUACCUUUCCGGCCGAACUGUUUUCAAAAGAAUAAUGACGAUUCGCAAGAGAACUCCAAGUCGAUUAAAGAUAUCUCGGACGACAAUGAAAAGUGUCCCCAUUACGAGGAACAGCUGGAAAAAUGUAAAUCGAAG